This 497-nucleotide ribosomal RNA is filed under the name uncultured bacterium. RNAcentral describes it as "partial 16S ribosomal RNA". It matches the Rfam family "Bacterial small subunit ribosomal RNA", at positions 28 to 507 of the family's 1533-position model. The record is from RNAcentral.
GAUGAACGCUGGCGGCGUGCCUAAUACAUGCAAGUCGAGCGAACAGACGAGGAGCUUGCUCCUCUAACGUUAGCGGCGGACGGGUGAGUAACACGUGGAUAACCUACCUAUAAGACUGGGAUAACUUCGGGAAACCGGAGCUAAUACCGGAUAAUAUAUUUAACCGCAUGGUUCAAUAGUGAAAGACGGUUUUGCUGUCACUUAUAGAUGGAUCCGCGCCGCAUUAGCUAGUUGGUAAGGUAACAGCUUACCAAGGCAACGAUGCGUAGCCGACCUGGGAGGGUGAUCGGCCACACUGGAACUGAGACACGGUCCAGACUCCUACGGGAGGCAGCAGUAGGGAAUCUUCCGCAAAGGGCGAAAGCCUGACGGAGCAACGCCGCGUGAGUGAUGAAGGUCUUCGGAUCGUAAAACUCUGUUAUUAGGGAAGAACAAAUGUGUAAGUAACUAUGCACGUCUUGACGGUACCUAAUCAGAAAGCCACGGCUAACUACGUG